GCAGUUUUCUAUCUUUAUUUCUGUUGUGGAAACAUCGUGCGCAGCCAAGAAACAACAAAAUAAUUUAACUGAAACUUUAUCAUUACAAUUGACAAAAUCUCACCAAAUAUAAAGUUGUUUCUUGGGUGCGCACAUACUUUUCCAAUCGAAAAUACACUUAACAAUUUGAUGAAAAACAAGGAAAAUCACAAAAUUUUACAAAAUAUGCAAAUUAAGGCAUGAUUUGUUGCCAUGGUAACUUGUUUAAUGUCCAAAAUUAUUUUGUUUUUCUGAAUACCUUCUACCUGAGAUACUUUUCAGUAAUUUUAAAAUAUGUAUGAUAACUUUUAAAUUUGCAGUAAUUUUUGGGCCAAAUAAGGGCCUUAUUGCCCCUACUCCUUUACAAA
RNAcentral lists this long non-coding RNA (386 nucleotides) under Mytilus galloprovincialis (Mediterranean mussel). The record is from RNAcentral. Lineage: Eukaryota; Metazoa; Mollusca; Bivalvia; Mytilida; Mytilidae.